RNAcentral lists this ribosomal RNA (253 nucleotides) under uncultured bacterium. RNAcentral describes it as "partial 16S ribosomal RNA". It matches the Rfam family "Bacterial small subunit ribosomal RNA", at positions 524 to 776 of the family's 1533-position model. The record is from RNAcentral.
UACAGAGGUCUCAACCGUUGUUCGGAUUCAUUGGGCGUAAAGGGUGCGUAGGCGGUCGGGUAAGUCGGAUGUGAAAUCUCAGGGCUCAACCCUGAAACUGCAUUCGAUACUGCCUGGCUAGGGUACUGGAGAGGAGACUGGAAUUUACGGUGUAGCAGUGAAAUGCGUAGAUAUCGUAAGGAAGACCAGUGGCGAAGGCGAGUCUCUGGACAGUUACUGACACUGAGGCACGAAGGCCAGGGGAGCAAACGGG